RNAcentral lists this ribosomal RNA (411 nucleotides) under uncultured bacterium. RNAcentral describes it as "bacterial SSU rRNA". It matches the Rfam family "Bacterial small subunit ribosomal RNA", at positions 32 to 422 of the family's 1533-position model. The record is from RNAcentral.
AAUCAACGCUGGCGGCGUGCCUCAGACAUGCAAGUCGAACGCGAAAGUCCCCUUCGGGGGACAAGUAGAGUGGCGCACGGGUGAGUAACACGUAGGUAAUCUACCUUUGGAUGGGGAAUAACAACCGGAAACGGUUGCUAAUACCGCAUAAUGCAGCGGCACCUAAUGGUGACAGUUGUUAAAGCGGGGGAUCGAAAGACCUCGCGUCUGAAGAGGAGCCUGCGGCGGAUUAGCUAGUUGGUAAGGUAACGGCUUACCAAGGCGACGAUCCGUAGCCGGCCUGAGAGGGCGGUCGGCCACACUGACACUGACAUACGGGUCAGACUCCUACGGGAGGCAGCAGUCGGGAAUUUCGGGCAAUGGGCGAAAGCCUGACCCAGCAACGCCGCGUGAAGGAUGAAAUCCCUCGGG